UUUUAAUUUAGAUCUGGCUCUUCAAAGUUAUCAAACUGCACGAGACUUUUAGUACGUGUAGACUCUGACGUCAUAUAACGUCGCUUGUAAGUAGCAUUACCAAAACAAAGUCUGAACAGGGCUUAUUUUAAUAAAGAAGUUUUAAUCUACUAUUUGUCUGCUAUAUAUCCAUCAAAUCAACGUGGGUGUAUAUUUUUUUUGGAACUUCUUGCUACUGCGAGAACGUUGUUUGUGGGGAGAAGCAAUUCGCAAAGCAUUAUGGGAUCACAGGUAACUGUGGAAAAAAAUUCAUUUGGAUCAAUUUGCAAAGUCAGAAUUUUCUCUUCGCCCAGGCAUUGCUUUUAGAGCUCCCAGUGAUGAGCGGCGCUUUGCGCUGCUCGCUGCGCUCGCUAAUAUCUAUGCUUUUUCAUAUGUUAAUUUAAUAUUAUAACUGGAAAGGAUUGACAGGGAAUCAAACUUGGACUCCUGCAUAGCUUGUAAGCUGCUCUAAUCCACCCAUGCCGACAUCCCGGUCAGCACAAUCCAAACCACUAAGUGUAUCUGGUCACCAGCAAUUGGACCUGCCUGAGCUUCUUGUGUCUGAUCACCAGCAAUUGAACUUGCCUAUCUGCCAUUUUCAUCAAGUUGGAAAUGAUGUAGUUUACUCAAUGGUGUGUAGACUGUCAACAUGUGAAACCUACAUAGUCUCCUCUGUUAAAGAUCACUAAUGGUGGAUAAACAAUGAGUGAUGCAGACUGUUCACCAAAAGGGAGUUUUGACACCUGUAUGCCUAUAUUUCUACCAAUCACCCUGUUAUCUUUUUUGUCAUGUUCUUUGGACAGGUAAAAUAACAAGGUAAAACAAGUAGAAAGAAAAGGCUGGAGCAAAGAUGAGAAAAGCACCAUAUGCCAAGGGUUUGUAAGGAGAGUAGCAGAUCAGAAACCUUUGACUAGAGAAGAUGUGAAUGGAGACAGAUUCUGAUGAUGCCAUCAUUGGGAGGCAGGAUGACUAUAAGACACUAAUUCCUCAUCCAUAAAGAUUUCUACAAGUGGUUCAUUUGAAAUGAAUACAGAUUUCAUUACAAGACGUGUGCAUGGUGCAACAUCCUGGAUGGUGUGUAGUAUGUUUGUUAACAUGUGAAGCCUACGUGUAUUUCAGGGAGUUGUCUCCCAUGUUUAAGAUCAGUAAUGGCGGAUAUACAAUGCAGUAUGCUGUCUGGUCAUCAACAGAGAGUUUUGACACCCGUAUUUCUACCAAUCACCUCUGUAACCUUUGUUGUAUUCAUC
Long non-coding RNA from Saccostrea echinata, 1265 nucleotides. RefSeq lists it as uncharacterized. NCBI's taxonomy places the organism in Eukaryota, Metazoa, Mollusca, Bivalvia, Ostreida, Ostreidae. The transcript has 8 exons. The record is from RefSeq and is a predicted model, not a curated record.